GGCUCAGGAUGAACGCUGGCGGCGUGCUUAACACAUGCAAGUCGAACGGUGAAGCCAAGCUUGCUUGGUGGAUCAGUGGCGAACGGGUGAGUAACACGUGAGCAACCUGCCCUGGACUCUGGGAUAAGCGCUGGAAACGGCGUCUAAUACUGGAUAUGAGACGUGAUCGCAUGGUCGUGUUUGGAAAGAUUUUUCGGUCUGGGAUGGGCUCGCGGCCUAUCAGCUUGUUGGUGAGGUAAUGGCUCACCAAGGCGUCGACGGGUAGCCGGCCUGAGAGGGUGACCGGCCACACUGGGACUGAGACACGGCCCAGACUCCUACGGGAGGCAGCAGUGGGGAAUAUUGCACAAUGGGCGGAAGCCUGAUGCAGCAACGCCGCGUGAGGGAUGACGGCCUUCGGGUUGUAAACCUCUUUUAGCAGGGAAGAAGCGUAAG
RNAcentral lists this ribosomal RNA (435 nucleotides) under Microbacterium sp. IGS53. Its description in RNAcentral is "bacterial SSU rRNA". It matches the Rfam family "Bacterial small subunit ribosomal RNA", at positions 21 to 456 of the family's 1533-position model. The record is from RNAcentral. Lineage: Bacteria; Bacillati; Actinomycetota; Actinomycetes; Micrococcales; Microbacteriaceae.